RNAcentral lists this ribosomal RNA (2080 nucleotides) under activated sludge metagenome. RNAcentral describes it as "bacterial LSU rRNA". It matches the Rfam family "Bacterial large subunit ribosomal RNA", at positions 3 to 2005 of the family's 2925-position model. The record is from RNAcentral.
CCAAGCUACUAAGGGCGCGUGGUGGAUGCCUUGGCACCGAGAGGCGAUGAAGGACGUAGCUACCUGCGAUAAGCCACGGUUUGUUGGACGCAAACUACCCGUGGAUCUCCGAAUGGGGCAACCCGGCCGGGCAAACCCCGGUCAUCGCGCGCUGAAUGCAUAGGCGCGCGAAGCCAACCCAGGGAAGUGAAACAUCUCAGUACCUGGAGGAAAGGAAAGCAAACAGCGACUCCGCUAGUAGUGGCGAGCGAACGCGGACCAGCCCAAACCGCAGGCAUGUCAUAGGCCAUGCCCGUUGUGUCUGCGGGGUUGCGGGGCGCGUCGCGGGGGGUGGUAUGGAACCCCCAGAAGGUUACAAAACCGGUCUCUAGCCGAACAUGACUGGAUAAGUCGGACCGUAGAAGGUGAUAGUCCUGUAGGCGAAAGGGAUCCGGUCCUUCAGACGCGUACCCAAGUAGCGCGGGUCACGGGAAACCCCGCGUGAAUCCGGGAGGCCCAUCUCCCAAGGCUAAGUACUACUCGGUGACCGAUAGCGAACCAGUACCGUGAGGGAAAGGUGAAAAGCACCCCGAGAGGGGAGUGAAACAGAACCUGAAACCACGUGCCUACAACCAGUAGGAGGGCUAUGGCCGCAAGGCAAAGCCUGACUGCGUGCCUUUUGCAUAAUGAGCCGGCGAGUUACUCUGCGUGGCAAGGUUAAGGGCUUCAGGUCCGUAGCCGAAGCGAAAGCGAGUCUGAACAGGGCGCAUAGUUACGUAGAGUAGACCCGAAACCGGGUGAUCUAUCCAUGGCCAGGGUGAAAUCUCUGUAAAAGGAGAUGGAGGCCCGAACCAGUGUCCGUCGAAAAGGGCUUGGAUGAGCUGUGGAUAGGGGUGAAAGGCCAAUCAAACUCGGUAAUAGCUGGUUCUCCCCGAAAUGUCUUUAGGGACAGCGUCAUGUGUAGCGUCCGGGGGUAGAGCACUGGAUGGGCUAGGGGCCUCACCAGGUUACUGAACCCAACCAAACUCCGAAUACCGGACGUGGAAUCAUGGCAGUGAGUCUAUGGGGGAUAAGCUCCAUAGUCGAGAGGGAAACAACCCAGACCGCCAGUUAAGGUCCCUAAAUUACGCUCAGUGUGAAACGAGGUGCAAUCGCAUAAACAACCAGGAUGUUGGCUUAGAAGCAGCCAUUCAUUUAAAGAGUGCGUAAUAGCUCACUGGUCGAGUGGUUGUGCGCGGAAAAUGUAACGGGGCUAAGCGUAAUACCGAAACUGCGGGUUCCGCCUUCGGGCGGAGCGGUAGGGGAGCAUUCUGUUCCGGGUAGAAGCGUGACCGAAAGGACACGUGGACUGAACAGAAGCGAUCAUGCCGGCAUUAGUAACGACAAGGAGGGCGAGAAUCCCUCCCGCCGAAAGUCCAAGGGUUCCCGGGCAAGGUGAAUCCUCCCGGGGUUAGUCGGGUCCUAAGCCGAGGCCGAAAGGCGUAGGCGAUGGGAAACAGGCACAAAGAUUCCUGUACCGCCUGGCGUCCGCUACCAGCAAUGGGGUGACGCAGGAGGAUAUGCCAGCUGCCUGUCGGAUGGCAGUCUAAGCGUGUAGGCCGUGGUCCAGGCAAAUCCGGGCCACAUUAAGGCUGAGACGUUAAGGGACGUGGAUCCCUUAGGGUGAAGCGGAUUGGCAAAUUCCACACUGCCAAGAAAAACCUCUAGCGAGGACGUCGGCGCCCGUACCGCAAACCGACACAGGUGGACGAGAAGAAUAUUCUAAGGCGCUCGGGUGAUCCGCUCUUAAGGAACUCGACCAAUUGGCCCCGUAACUUCGGAAGAAGGGGUGCUCUGGGCGGUGACGGUCCUCGCGACCGGAGCUUCCCGGAGUCGCAGUAAAGUGGCUCAGGCGACUGUUUACUAAAAACACAGGUCUCUGCAAAGUCGUAAGACGACGUAUAGGGACUGACGCCUGCCCAAUGCCGGAAGGUUAACGGGAGAGGUCAGCGCAAGCGAAGCCUUGAACCGAAGCCCCGGUUAAUGGCGGCCGUAACUAUAACGGUCCUAAGGUAGCGAAAUUCCUUGUCGGGUAAGUUCCGACCUGCACGAAUGGCGUAAC